This 272-nucleotide ribosomal RNA is filed under the name uncultured bacterium. RNAcentral describes it as "partial 16S ribosomal RNA". It matches the Rfam family "Bacterial small subunit ribosomal RNA", at positions 333 to 619 of the family's 1533-position model. The record is from RNAcentral.
CAAGUCUUACGGGACGCAGCAGUGGGGAAUAUUGGGCAAUGGGCGCAAGCCUGACCCAGCAACGCCGCGUGAAGGAAGAAGGCUUUCGGGUUGUAAACUUCUUUUCUUGGAGACGAAGAAAGUGACGGUACCCAAGGAAUAAGCCACGGCUAACUACGUGCCAGCAGCCGCGGUAAUACGUAGGUGGCAAGCGUUAUCAGGAUUUAUUGGGUGUAAAGGGCGUGUAGGCGGGAUUGCAAGUCAGAUGUGAAAAUCACGGGCUCAAACUGUGG